This 1254-nucleotide unclassified non-coding RNA is filed under the name uncultured fungus. RNAcentral describes it as "sequence contains 18S rRNA gene, ITS1, 5.8S rRNA gene, ITS2, 28S rRNA gene". Lineage: Eukaryota; Fungi. The record is from RNAcentral.
GGAACACCGUUGACCUUCGUGAAACGACCACCAAUCAGCGCAUCGCCAUCGGGCUGAAGGAACAGGGCGUCCACGGGAUUGUUAGCGCCGGGGGUCAGGUCAAAGGAAGGGUCGCGGGUUCCGUCAAUGUUCAGACGGAUGAGACCGACAUCCCCGCAGAUGAGCAUCUUUCCAUCCGGCCGCAGCGCGAUGGCGGCAACGCUGGCUCCGGGGCUGAUGUACGCGGGAUUUGGGAAUGUCGCGUCCACGGUGCCGUCGGGUUCGAGCCGGGCGACUUUGUGACGGGCCAUGCCGUUGACUGAGGUAAAAUCGCCGGCCACCAGGAUCCUGCCAUCGGGCUGCACGGCGAUGGAUCCGACGUUGUUGCUGGCGCCGGUCAUCCCGCCGGCCUGAAAUCCGGCGUCGAGCGUUCCAUCAGGCAUAAGCCGUGCGAUGCGCGUGCGGGCGGUGCCGCCGGCGCUGAGGAAAUUUCCGCCGGCCAGCACCUUGCCGUCCGGCUGGACGGCGAGGCAGAAGACCAGACCGAUCGCCGGAUUGCCAAAGGUCGCAUCGACACUGCCGUUAGGAUUGAGGCGGACCACAUUGGCACGAGGGAAGCCGUUGACCUGCCCGAAGUCUCCACCAAGGAGAAUCUUUCCGUCCCCCUGGAUCACGAUGGCGUAAACUGCCGUGAGGCUGCCGCCGGUAACUCCCGCCAUGUUAUUCUGAAAACCAACGUCGAGUGUGCCGUCAGGGUUGAGCCGCGCGAUGCGGUUGCGCGAGACGCCUUGGACAUUCUGAAACCAGCCCCCGACGAUGAUCUUGUCAUUGGCCUGCACGGCGAGGCAUUGGACCUUGCCAUCAAAGCCGGCGAGCCCGGCCAUGAACGUCGGAUCGUGGCUCCCAUCGCCGUUCAACCGGGCGAGCCGGUUGCGUACCAUUCCCGCAACUGACGUAAAGUCUCCGCCGAUCAGCGAUUUGCCAUCGGAUUGCUGCGCGAUGGCCAGAACGGGAUAGUUGCCCGCGCUGAUCGAGGUACCCGCGUUGAAAUUCGGGUCCACAUCACCGGAGACAGGGGUGAUGCCCGGCUCCACGACUCCCGCCGGCGAAAUCGCCGCCGAAGCGAACAGGACGAGGCACACGAUGGUUCGAAUUUGUUUGGCGUUCAUACCUUGCCGGGUUGGUUGAAUUCGCGGAUUCCCUGGCAGCGGUUUCCCGCCGCGCGGAAACGAUGCCUGGGGACAUCGCCUGACUCUGAUGAAAGAGAGUUCCGCA